RNAcentral lists this ribosomal RNA (427 nucleotides) under uncultured Verrucomicrobiaceae bacterium. RNAcentral's name for it is "bacterial SSU rRNA". It matches the Rfam family "Bacterial small subunit ribosomal RNA", at positions 355 to 774 of the family's 1533-position model. Lineage: Bacteria; Pseudomonadati; Verrucomicrobiota; Verrucomicrobiia; Verrucomicrobiales; Verrucomicrobiaceae. The record is from RNAcentral.
UCGAGAAUAAUUCACAAUGGACGAAAGUCUGAUGGUGCAACGCCGCGUGGAGGAUGACGGUCUUCGGAUUGUAAACUCCUGUCAUCUGGGAGAAAGACCUGGGAGUUAAUAGCUCACAGGGUUGAUAGUACCAGAAGAGGAAGGGACGGCUAACUUCGUGCCAGCAGCCGCGGUAAUACGAAGGUCCCGAGCGUUGUUCGGAAUCACUGGGCGUAAAGGGAGCGUAGGCGGCGCAGUAAGUCGGAUGUGAAAUCCCGGGGCUCAACCCCGGAACUGCAUCUGAUACUGCUGUGCUAGAGUAAUGGAGGGGUAGCUGGAAUUCUCGGUGUAGCAGUGAAAUGCGUAGAUAUCGAGAGGAACACUCGUGGCGAAAGCGAGCUACUGGACAUUUACUGACGCUGAGGCUCGAAGGCCAGGGUAGCGAAAG